GUUUUGUUUUCAAAUUCGUCAAAAUCAAAUCCCCCUUUACUUUAAAGUGUUUUAUUAGUCAAAAUAUGUUUUGAUUUGUGUUUUUAAGUGUCUUGAGUCAAGUUAGAACCUAAUUUCAUCCAAAACCAUCCCUAGAGUCAGUUUAGAGUCUAAUUCAUUGUUUUAAGCUGUUUUGAGUCUUUUAAACGAGUUUUGAGUCUUUUUAGUUUGUAUUGC
This 216-nucleotide long non-coding RNA is filed under the name Malus domestica (apple). RNAcentral describes it as "long non-coding RNA (MDOM_LNC018261)". The record is from RNAcentral. Lineage: Eukaryota; Viridiplantae; Streptophyta; Magnoliopsida; Rosales; Rosaceae.